ACUCCUACGGGAGGCAGCAGUGAGGAAUAUUGGACAAUGGGAGGCAACUCUGAUCCAGCCAUCCCGCGUGAAGGAUGAAUGCCCGUACGGGUUGUAAACUUUCUUUUAUACAGGAAGAAACCUCUGGUAUUUAUCCAGAGCUGACAUUACUGUACGAAUAAGCAUCGGCUAACUCCGUGCCAGCAGCCGCGGUAAGUACGGAGGAUGCAAGCGUUAUCCGGUAUUUAAGUUGGGUUUAAAGGGUCCGUAGGCGGUAACUUUAAGUCAGUGGUGAAAGCCUGCAGCUUAACUGUAGAACUGCCAUUGAUACUGAUGUUCUUGAAUAUAUAUGAAGUGGGCGGAAUGCGUCAUGUAGCGGUGAAAUGCACAGAUAUGACGCAGAACACC
This 387-nucleotide ribosomal RNA is filed under the name uncultured bacterium. Its description in RNAcentral is "bacterial SSU rRNA". It matches the Rfam family "Bacterial small subunit ribosomal RNA", at positions 335 to 710 of the family's 1533-position model. The record is from RNAcentral.